Molecule: long non-coding RNA, 341 nt
Organism: Oncorhynchus tshawytscha (Chinook salmon)
Lineage: Eukaryota; Metazoa; Chordata; Actinopteri; Salmoniformes; Salmonidae
Source: Ensembl
AACACAGAGAGGCCAACUGGUUCACUAGCAUGGCUGUGGAGCAGCAGAACACAGAGAGAGGCCAACUGGUUCACUAGCAUGGCUGUGGAGCAGCAGAAAACAGAGGGAGGCCAACUGGUUCACUAGCAUGGCUGUGGAGAAGCAGAAAACAGAGGGAGGUUCACUAGCAUGGCUGUGGAGCAGCAGAAAACAGAGGGAGGCCAACUGGUUCAAUAGCAUGGCUGUGGAGCAGCAGAAAACAGAGGGAGGCCAACUUGUUCACUAGCAUGGCUGUGGAGCAGCAGAAAACAGAGGGAGGCCAACUGGUUCACUAGCAUGGAUGUGGAGCAGCAGCAAACAGA